This 253-nucleotide ribosomal RNA is filed under the name uncultured bacterium. Its description in RNAcentral is "partial 16S ribosomal RNA". It matches the Rfam family "Bacterial small subunit ribosomal RNA", at positions 524 to 776 of the family's 1533-position model. The record is from RNAcentral.
UACGUAGGGGGCAAGCGUUGUCCGGAAUCAUUGGGCGUAAAGAGCGCGUAGGCGGCCCUGUAAGUCCGCUGUGAAAGUCAAGGGCUCAACCCUUGAAUGCCGGUGGAUACUGCAGGGCUAGAGUCCGGAAGAGGCGAGUGGAAUUCCUGGUGUAGCGGUGAAAUGCGUAGAUAUGCGGAGGAACACCGAUGACGAAGGCAAUCCCCUGGGCCUGUACUGACGCUCAUGCACGAAAGCGUGGGGAGCAAACAGG